Molecule: ribosomal RNA, 890 nt
Filed under: Polypedates leucomystax (Java whipping frog)
Lineage: Eukaryota; Metazoa; Chordata; Amphibia; Anura; Rhacophoridae
Description: partial 16S ribosomal RNA
Rfam family: Bacterial large subunit ribosomal RNA
Source: RNAcentral
GCAGCCACCUUUUAAAACGCGUCAAAGCGUAACCUUAACCCCCAAAAUACCACUAAUUUUCAUGAACCCCUAAUUUAUAAUGAAUGACUCCAUAUUUAUAUGGAAGACACCAUGCUAGGAUUAGUAACAAGAAUUUAUAAUUCUCCAAAAUGCAAAUAUAAACCAACAUGGAUGGACCAUUGGUAGUUACCGAACCUAAAUUCAAUGCAAUAACACCCACAAGAAAACUCUGCAGUACUCACUCGUUAACCUAACACCAGCGCAUUACAGGAAAGAUUAAAAAAAAGAGAAGGAAUUCGGCAAAUGACGGCCCCGCCUGUUUACCAAAAACAUCGCCUCUUGACUUAUAAUAAGAGGUCUAGCCUGCCCAGUGAAUUUUAAACGGCCGCGGUAUCCUAACCGCGCGAAGGUAGCAUAAUCACUUGUUCUUUAAAUGGGGACUCGUAUCAACGGCAUCACGAGGGUUUUACUGUCUCCUCUUUUUGAUCAGUGAAAUUGAUCUUCCCGUGAAGAAGCGGGAAUAAAUUUAUAAGACGAGAAGACCCCAUGGAGCUUUAAACCAAAUAACAACUUAACCACUCACCCCAUAAUAAAUUUAAGCCCUGUUAUAAGGUUUUUGGUUGGGGUGACCGCGGAGUAAAGCAUAUCCUCCACGACGAAAAGAACAGAAUCUUUAUUUAAGAACCACACUUCUAGAAAUUAGUAUACUAACGUUUACUGACCCGACAAUCGAUCAACGGACCAAGUUACCCUGGGGAUAACAGCGCAAUCUACUUCAAGAGCUCAUAUCGACAAGUAGGCUUACGACCUCGAUGUUGGAUCAGGGUAUCCCGGUGGUGCAGCCGCUACCGAAGGUUCGUUUGUUCAACGAUUAAAACCCUACGUGAUCU